RNAcentral lists this ribosomal RNA (484 nucleotides) under uncultured bacterium. Its description in RNAcentral is "partial 16S ribosomal RNA". It matches the Rfam family "Bacterial small subunit ribosomal RNA", at positions 30 to 507 of the family's 1533-position model. The record is from RNAcentral.
AUUGAACGCUGGCGGCAGGCCUAACACAUGCAAGUCGAGCGGAUGAAGGGGGCUUGCUCCUGGAUUCAGCGGCGGACGGGUGAGUAAUGCCUAGGAAUCUGCCUGGUAGUGGGGGAUAACGUCCGGAAACGGGCGCUAAUACCGCAUACGUCCUGAGGGAGAAAGUGGGGGAUCUUCGGACCUCACGCUAUCAGAUGAGCCUAGGUCGGAUUAGCUAGUUGGUGGGGUAAAGGACUACCAAGGCGACGAUCCGUAACUGGUCUGAGAGGAUGAUCAGUCACACUGGAACUGAGACACGGUCCAGACUCCUACGGGAGGCAGCAGUGGGGAAUAUUGGACAAUGGGCGAAAGCCUGAUCCAGCCAUGCCGCGUGUGUGAAGAAGGUCUUCGGAUUGUAAAGCACUUUAAGUUGGGAGGAAGGGCAGUAAGUUAAUACCUUGCUGUUUUGACGUUACCAACAGAAUAAGCACCGGCUAACUUCGUG